Molecule: small RNA, 1010 nt
Filed under: uncultured bacterium
Lineage: Bacteria
Description: bacterial SSU rRNA
Rfam family: Bacterial small subunit ribosomal RNA (bases 1-476)
Source: RNAcentral
AUGGCUGUCGUCAGCUCGUGUCGUGAGAUGUUGGGUUAAGUCCCGCAACGAGCGCAACCCUUACUUUUAGUUGCCACCAUUUAGUUGAGCACUCUAAAAGAACUGCCAGUGAUAAGCUGGAGGAAGGCGGGGAUGACGUCAAGUCCUCAUGGCCCUUACGUGUUGGGCUACACACGUGCUACAAUGGCACUUACAAUGAGAUGCAAAGAGGCGACUCCUAGCUAAUCUCAAAAAGGUGCCUCAGUUCGGAUUGUACUCUGCAACUCGAGUACAUGAAGCUGGAAUUGCUAGUAAUCGCGGAUCAGCGCGCCGCGGUGAAUACGUUCCCGGGUCUUGUACACACCGCCCGUCACACCAUGGAAGUUGGUUACACCUAAAGGCAAAACUUAAAACUUUUGACUACGGUACGAUCAGCGACUGGGGUGAAGUCGUAACAAGGUAGCCGUAGGGGAACCUGCGGCUGGAUCACCUCCUUUCUAAGGAAAUCGAAAAAUAUUAAAACAAUUAUUUUCGAUUUAAAAAAAACCGGUAAUGUGACCGUCCUCAUUUCUCUUCUUUUAAUGUCUCUGAGUAAAAACUAAGGGGCCGGUAGCUCAGGUGGUUAGAGCGCACCCCUGAUAAGGGUGAGGUCGGAAGUUCGAGUCUUCCUCGGCCCACCAAAAGUGUCGGGGGAUUAGCUCAGCUGGGAGAGCGCCUGAUUUGCAUUCAGGAGGUCAGCGGUUCGAUCCCGCUAUCCUCCACCAAAUUUGAGACAUUUAGCUUUUUUAAAUCGUAAAUAUUAUUAUUAUCAAUAUCUAUAUCCGAUUGUUUUCAAAUAUUUUUUUUGAAAACAAUCAAAACAAAAAUUUAAUUUAUUGCAGAAAAAUUUUUUUCUGUGCAUAAAUCAAGCGUUUAAGGGCGAUUGGCGGAUGCCUUGGCUCCAGAAGUCGAUGAAGGACGUAGUAAGUUGCGAUAAGCCGCGGCUAGCGACAAACACGCUUAACCGUGGAUUUCCGAAUGGGGAAACCCGA